Non-coding RNA from Salmo salar (Atlantic salmon), 54 nucleotides. Lineage: Eukaryota; Metazoa; Chordata; Actinopteri; Salmoniformes; Salmonidae. The record is from Rfam.
GAACUUUAUGGCUGUAAGUUGCUUUGGAUAAAAGUGUCUGCUAAAUGGCAUAUA